Molecule: ribosomal RNA, 496 nt
Filed under: uncultured bacterium
Lineage: Bacteria
Description: partial 16S ribosomal RNA
Rfam family: Bacterial small subunit ribosomal RNA
Source: RNAcentral
GAUGAACGCUGGCGGCGUGCCUAAUACAUGCAAGUCGAGCGAACAGAUAAGGAGCUUGCUCCUUUGACGUUAGCGGCGGACGGGUGAGUAACACGUGGGUAACCUACCUAUAAGACUGGAAUAACUCCGGGAAACCGGGGCUAAUGCCGGAUAACAUUUAGAACCGCAUGGUUCUAAAGUGAAAGAUGGUUUUGCUAUCACUUAUAGAUGGACCCGCGCCGUAUUAGCUAGUUGGUAAGGUAACGGCUUACCAAGGCAACGAUACGUAGCCGACCUGAGAGGGGGUGCGGCCAAACGGGAACUGGAACCCGGUCCAAACCCCUAGGGGAGGGACCAGGAGGGAAUCUUCCGAAAUGGGCGAAAGCCUUACGGGGCAACGCCGGGGGGGUGAUGAAGGUUUUCGGAUUGUAAACCUCUUUUAUUAGGGAAAAAAAAAUGUGAAAGAAACUGGGCACGUUUUGACGGUACCUAUGCAAAAAGCCACGGCUAACUACGU